This 207-nucleotide long non-coding RNA is filed under the name Gorilla gorilla gorilla (western lowland gorilla). Its description in RNAcentral is "lncRNA (ENSGGOG00000044566.1)". Lineage: Eukaryota; Metazoa; Chordata; Mammalia; Primates; Hominidae. The record is from RNAcentral.
GGAAAAUUCUGGAGUAGAGCAUGGAAGUCUUGCACUGGUCUUCUGGAAGAUACAAUAGCAUGCAUCCCCAAGUGCUCUUAUAUCACAAAACACUAGAGAUUUGCUGUGCAGAAAUAUGUUUGAGCCAGGCUGAUGUAGAACACUUCUCUACUAGACUUUUUGUAUUUUCCAACUUUUGGAUGAAAGAGAGACGUAGCAGCAACCCAA